UACGAAGGGGGCUAGCGUUGCUCGGAAUGACUGGGCGUAAAGGGCGCGUAGGCGGGUUGCACAGUCGGGCGUGAAAUUCCUGGGCUUAACCUGGGGGCUGCGUUCGAGACGUGUGGCCUAGAGUGGGGAAGAGGGUCGUGGAAUUCCCAGUGUAGAGGUGAAAUUCGUAGAUAUUGGGAAGAACACCGGUGGCGAAGGCGGCGACCUGGUCCUUGACUGACGCUGAGGCGCGAAAGCGUGGGGAGCAAACAGG
RNAcentral lists this ribosomal RNA (253 nucleotides) under uncultured bacterium. RNAcentral describes it as "partial 16S ribosomal RNA". It matches the Rfam family "Bacterial small subunit ribosomal RNA", at positions 524 to 776 of the family's 1533-position model. The record is from RNAcentral.